Molecule: ribosomal RNA, 482 nt
Filed under: uncultured bacterium
Lineage: Bacteria
Description: partial 16S ribosomal RNA
Rfam family: Bacterial small subunit ribosomal RNA
Source: RNAcentral
AUUGAACGCUGGCGGCAUGCCUUACACAUGCAAGUCGAACGGUAACGGGCCUUCGGGUGCCGACGAGUGGCGCACGGGUGCGUAAUACAUCGGAACGUGCCCGAUCGUGGGGGAUAACGAGGCGAAAGCUUUGCUAAUACCGCAUACGAUCUACGGAUGAAAGCAGGGGACCGCAAGGCCUUGCGCGGACGGAGCGGCCGAUGGCAGAUUAGGUAGUUGGUGGGAUAAAAGCUUACCAAGCCGACGAUCUGUAGCUGGUCUGAGAGGAUGAUCAGCCACACUGGGACUGAGACACGGCCCAGACUCCUACGGGAGGCAGCAGUGGGGAAUUUUGGACAAUGGGCGCAAGCCUGAUCCAGCCAUGCCGCGUGCAGGAUGAAGGCCUUCGGGUUGUAAACUGCUUUUGUGCGGAACGAAAAGCCUUCCUUUAAUACAGGAGGGUCAUGACGGUACCGUAAGAAUAAGCACCGGCUAACUACGUG